RNAcentral lists this ribosomal RNA (237 nucleotides) under uncultured bacterium. RNAcentral describes it as "partial 16S ribosomal RNA". It matches the Rfam family "Bacterial small subunit ribosomal RNA", at positions 28 to 260 of the family's 1533-position model. The record is from RNAcentral.
GACGAACGCUGGCGGCGUGCUUAACACAUGCAAGUCGAGCGGUAAGGCCCUUUCGGGGUACGACGAGCGGCGAACGGGUAGAGUAACACGUGGGUGACCUCGCCCUCCAGCUCUGGGAGUAAGCCUGGGAAACGUGGGUCGUAAUACCGGAUAUGACUCCAUGACGCAUGUUGUGGGGUGGAAAGCCUUGUGCGGCUGAGGAUGGGCCCGCGGCCUAUCAGCUUGUUGGGGGGGUGA